GAUCAACGCUGGCGGCGUGCAUGAGACAUGCAAGUCGAACGGACACUCACGGGCUUGCCUGUGAGUGUUAGUGGCGGACGGCUGAGUAACGCGUAGGUGACCUGCCCCGAAGUGGGGAAUAACUGCCCGAAAGGGUGGCUAAUACCGCAUGUGGUGAUGCGUUCAGACGCAUCAGUAAAGCCGCAAGGCGCUUCGGGGAGGGGCCUGCGUCCGAUUAGCNCGUUGGUGAGGUAACGGCUCACCAAGGCGACGAUCGGUAGGUGGUCUGAGAGGACGAUCACCCAGACUGGGACUGAGACACGGCCCAGACUCCUACGGGAGGCAGCAGUCGGGAAUUUUGCGCAAUGGACGAAAGUCUGACGCAGCAACGCCGCGUGAGGGAUGACGGCCU
RNAcentral lists this ribosomal RNA (391 nucleotides) under uncultured bacterium. RNAcentral's name for it is "bacterial SSU rRNA". It matches the Rfam family "Bacterial small subunit ribosomal RNA", at positions 28 to 417 of the family's 1533-position model. The record is from RNAcentral.